AGCGGGAAAUCCGUGACGGAUCCUUCGGGUGACGGAUCGGAUGGAGAGCGGCGGACGGGUGAGUAACGCGUAGGUAACCUGCCCUGUACAGAGGGAUAGCCACUGGAAACGGUGAUUAAUACCUCAUAAUGCCGGAUCUGCACAUGCAGGACCGGUCAAAGUUUUUUCGGUACAGGAUGGACCUGCGUCUGAUUAGCUAGUUGGUGGGGUAACGGCUCACCAAGGCGACGAUCAGUAGCCGACCUGAGAGGGUGAUCGGCCACAUUGGAACUGAGACACGGUCCAAACUCCUACGGGAGGCAGCAGUGGGGAAUAUUGCACAAUGGGGGAAACCCUGAUGCAGCAACGCCGCGUGAACGAAGAAGGCUCUUGGGUCGUAAAGUUCUGUUCUGAGGGAAGAAGAAAGUGACGGUACCUCAGGAGAAAGCCCCGGCUAACUACGUGCCAGCAGCCGCGGUAAUACGUAGGGGGCAAGCGUUGUCCGGAAUUAUUGGGCGUAAAGAGUACGUAGGCGGUCUGGUAAGCGCAAGGUGAAAGGCAUAGGCUCAACCAAUGUCAGCCUUGCGAACUGUCAGACUUGAGUGCAGGAGGGGAGAGUGGAAUUCCUAGUGUAGCGGUGAAAUGCGUAGAUAUUAGGAGGAACACCAGUGGCGAAGGCGACUUUCUGGACUGUAACUGACGCUGAGGUACGAAAGCGUGGGGAGCAAACAGGAUUAGAUACCCUGGUAGUCCACGCCGUAAACGAUGAGCACUAGGUGUCGGGGCCGCAGGGCUUCGGUGCCGCAGUUAACGCAUUAAGUGCUCCGCCUGGGGAGUACGCACGCAAGUGUGCAACUCAA
RNAcentral lists this ribosomal RNA (839 nucleotides) under uncultured Bacillota bacterium. RNAcentral's name for it is "bacterial SSU rRNA". It matches the Rfam family "Bacterial small subunit ribosomal RNA", at positions 65 to 904 of the family's 1533-position model. The record is from RNAcentral. Lineage: Bacteria; Bacillati; Bacillota.